This is a long non-coding RNA of Cucumis melo (muskmelon), 2003 nucleotides long. RefSeq lists it as uncharacterized. The transcript is spliced from 3 exons. NCBI's taxonomy places the organism in Eukaryota, Viridiplantae, Streptophyta, Magnoliopsida, Cucurbitales, Cucurbitaceae. The record is from RefSeq and is a predicted model, not a curated record.
AACGUUCUCAUCCAACUUCCAUUUUUCCUUCUUCAAUUUAUAGAGAACAUUUAAGAGAGAGUUUGGAAGGAAGAAGGAGAGGAAUUUUACUAGAAUUUUGAGGUUGAAGAAGGGAAGGAAAAAUCAAGCAAAGUGUAUCCAUGGCUGAAUCUUGGUUCAUUCUGCACAUCACUGGUCUUUAAUUUGGUUUGAACUCUUCAAAAGGAAUUAAGAGGUGAGGUUUACAUUUACUGAAAGUUAACUCAUUUUCAAACAAAUUUUAUGAAUAAAGUUGGAGCAAAUUCGGAUAUUCAUUGAUGAAGAAAACAGGGCAGUUGGCUUUCAUGCGAAAUCAGGAGGUCUCUGGUUUUUCUUAUAUUUCAGAGUGUGCCGGUAGAGUUAGGAUCUCUAUUUGGGACAAGUUAAAGAGAUCGUGUGCGCGCGAUUCUUGAAGUUUUUCUGUUUCGAGGGUUAUCUGAGUUUAUGCACAGGGAAUCAGAUUUACAUGUCUUCAGGUAGAGAUCGAGUUCUUGGUGCCUGAUAAACUACCUUAGUCUGCUGAAGCUCUAUUAUCGAUUGUCAGUACGUGUUUCGAGUUGGGCAUAGAGUCUGUUGUGAUAUGAUGUAUAUACAUCCUUGUAUGUUAUAGAUACUCCACAGUUUGUAUAAGCUUUAGGAGCUGCAGUUGUGUAAAUUUUUGUUGGUUACAUUUUGAUUAAGGUGUCUUUAGGUUUACUCGUGAAAUCAAUUAAUUCCAAGGUACACUUCAUGUAUAUGUUUGACUAGCCUAGGAUCCGUUGUGUUUUGUUGCAUGUAAAAUAGUUUAUAUACUAGAUUGGCAAGUUCAUCACAUUAAAGUUUUAAGCAGAGUCGACAGAUAUAGGUAAAGAAAAUCGUUGUUCGUCGGCUUCACGCCAUCUUUAAGUCUAAGCUAACAGGUAGUCUGGGAGGGGGUGUGACAUGGAGUCACCUCCCCAAACGACAAAGGCACCCGAUCGCUUCUAUUAGGGUGGUGGAUCUAACGGCCAAAUCCCGAUCGUCCCCCAAUAGAAGUUAAAUCACUGACAGCGGAGUCACCUCUCCAAACGACGAAGACACCCGAUUGCUUCCACCAAGGUGAUGGAUCUGAUCGCCAAAGCCCGAUCAUCCCCCAGUAGAAGUUAGAUCGAUGACGGCAGAGUCACCUCUCCAAACGACGAAGGCAUCCGAUCACUUCUACCAAGGUGGUGAACCUGACGGCCAAAGCCCGAUCAUGCCCCAUUAGAAGUUAGAUCGCUGACGGCGGAGUCACCUCUUCAAAUGACAAAGGCGCCCGAUUGCUCCUACCAGGGUGAUGGAUCUGAAGGCCAAAGCCCGAUCAUCUCCCAGUAGAUGUUAGAUCGCUGACGAUGGAGUCAGCUCUCCAAACGACGAAGGUACCCGAUCGCUCCUACCAGGGUGGUGGAUCUGAUGGCCAAAGCCCGAUCAUCCCCCAAUAGAAGUUAGAUCUCUAAUGGCGAAGUCAUCUCUCCAAUUGACGAAGGCACCCAAUUGCUUCUACUAAGGUGGUGGUUCUGACGGCCAAAGCCCGAUCGUCCCCAGUAGAAAUUAGAUCGUCGACGGCGGUGUCACCUCUCUAAACGACGAUGGUGCCCGAUCGCUCCUACCAGGGCGGUGAAUCUGAUGGCCAAAGCCCGAUCGUCUCCCAGUAGAAGUUGGAUUACUGACGGCGAAGUCACCUCUCUAAACGAAGGCGUCCGAUCACUCCUACCAGAGCGAUGGAUCUGACGGCAAAAGUCUGAUCGUCCCCCAGUAGAAGUUUGAUCACUGACGGUGGAGUCACCGCUGCAAACGAUUGUAAAAAAAGAAUAAUAAAAAAAAAGAAGAAGAAAAAAAUCCUCACCUUUUGAAGAUGCGUUUGGAAGCAAAAAAAGGGGCACAACUUUAGUUCCAAAAAAGAAAGAGAGAGAAUUAAAAAAGAGAAUUAUUAGAGAAGAAAAAAGAAGAGAAGAGAAGUUUUUCUCUUCUCUCAGACUUGGAAAGAA